CUUUUUCAAAUUUGUAUGGAGUUGGAACAGCUUCCCUUCGUUUGCCGCUAGGGGCGCUGUUCCAACUCCAUACAAAAUUGAGUUA
This 85-nucleotide microRNA precursor is filed under the name Bombyx mori (domestic silkworm). RNAcentral's name for it is "mir-2807 microRNA precursor family". It matches the Rfam family "mir-2807 microRNA precursor family". The record is from Rfam by way of RNAcentral. Lineage: Eukaryota; Metazoa; Arthropoda; Insecta; Lepidoptera; Bombycidae.